GAAAAACUCCUCCAAAAAUCCUAUGGGAAAAAUAUUGAGGAGAAACCAAUUUGUAUGUCCAUAUGCCAUUAAAACUCCUUUAAAACCCAGUGGGAAUAUAAGGAGAAAAUGAUAUAGCAUAUUUAGAUUAUUGUCUCAUUCCAAACCCAUAUGAGCAAAACCUUGAAAAGGAAAACCCAUAAGUUUGGAGAUCAAUAAUAUUAUGAUAUGAGGAUCAUAUUCGAAUAACCUAUCCCAAAACUCAAUGGGAAAAUAUGAGAAGG
This 263-nucleotide long non-coding RNA is filed under the name Setaria italica (foxtail millet). RNAcentral's name for it is "long non-coding RNA (SITA_LNC006810)". Lineage: Eukaryota; Viridiplantae; Streptophyta; Magnoliopsida; Poales; Poaceae. The record is from RNAcentral.